This 502-nucleotide ribosomal RNA is filed under the name uncultured bacterium. Its description in RNAcentral is "bacterial SSU rRNA". It matches the Rfam family "Bacterial small subunit ribosomal RNA", at positions 28 to 508 of the family's 1533-position model. The record is from RNAcentral.
AACGAACGCUGGCGGCGUGGAUAAGACAUGCAAGUCGAACGGAUUCGUUGUCGUAGCAAUACGAUGGCGGGUCAGUGGCGCAAGGGUGCGUAACACGUGGGCAACCUGCCCUGGAGUUUGGGAUAGCCCGCCGAAAGGCGGAUUAAUACCGGAUGUGGCUACCUGCUGAUUAGCGGGGACGCUAAAGGUGGCGCAAGCUGCCGCUCCUGGAUGGGCCCGCGGCCUAUCAGCUAGUUGGUUGGGGUAACGGCCCACCAAGGCGAUGACGGGUAGCUGGUCUGAGAGGACGACCAGCCACACUGGAACUGAGACACGGUCCAGACACCUACGGGUGGCAGCAGUCGAGAAUUUUUCGCAAUGGGGGAAACCCUGACGGAGCGACGCCGCGUGGAGGAUGAAGGUCUUCGGAUUGUAAACUCCUGUCAUUGGUGAACAAAGCUUUCCGGUUAACUGCCGGGGAGCCUGCUAGUAGCCGAAGAGGAAGGGACGGCUAACUCUGUGC